ACGCUCGACACCUACGGGAGGGAGCAGUGAGGAAUAUUGGUCAAUGGACGCAAGUCUGAACCAGCCAUGCCGCGUGCAGGAUGACGGCUCUAUGAGUUGUAAACUGCUUUUGUACGAGGGUAAACGCAGAUACGUGUAUCUGUCUGAAAGUAUCGUACGAAUAAGGAUCGGCUAACUCCGUGCCGGCAGCCGCAGUAAUCUGAGCGGGCUGGCAAGGC
Molecule: ribosomal RNA, 218 nt
Filed under: uncultured bacterium
Lineage: Bacteria
Description: partial 16S ribosomal RNA
Rfam family: Bacterial small subunit ribosomal RNA
Source: RNAcentral